Molecule: ribosomal RNA, 541 nt
Filed under: Sphingomonas sp. Z0-YC6803
Lineage: Bacteria; Pseudomonadati; Pseudomonadota; Alphaproteobacteria; Sphingomonadales; Sphingomonadaceae
Description: bacterial SSU rRNA
Rfam family: Bacterial small subunit ribosomal RNA
Source: RNAcentral
CUGCGUAACGCGUUGUGGAAUCUGCCCUUGGGUUCGGAAUAACAGUGAGAAAUUACUGCUAAUACCGAAUGAUGACGUAAGUCCAAAGAUUUAUCGCCCAAGGAUGAGCCCGCGUAGGAUUAGCUAGUUGGUGAGGUAAAAGCUCACCAAGGCGACGAUCCUUAGCUGGUCUGAGAGGAUGAUCAGCCACACUGGGACUGAGACACGGCCCAGACUCCUACGGGAGGCAGCAGUGGGGAAUAUUGGACAAUGGGCGAAAGCCUGAUCCAGCAAUGCCGCGUGAGUGAUGAAGGCCUUAGGGUUGUAAAGCUCUUUUACCCGGGAUGAUAAUGACAGUACCGGGAGAAUAAGCUCCGGCUAACUCCGUGCCAGCAGCCGCGGUAAUACGGAGGGAGCUAGCGUUAUUCGGAAUUACUGGGCGUAAAGCGCACGUAGGCGGCUUUGUAAGUUAGAGGUGAAAGCCUGGAGCUCAACUCCAGAACUGCCUUUAAGACUGCAUCGCUUGAAUCCAGGAGAGGUGAGUGGAAUUCCGAGUGUAGAG